UCAUGGAUAGAAGGAAAUGGUCACUGGUGUUUUCCUUGUAAUGCUGUUUUUAAUAAUUUUCAUGUAACAUUAGAAACUCAGGGCUGGAAGGCUCAACUUAUGUUUUUCAGCAGGGUCUCUACUUUUAUUGUUUAGCAUUCUUACUUAGGACAAUAAGUGUUAACCUACCUCUCCUUACUAUCAACAGAAUCCAAUUUUAUGAUAGAUUUUGCUUUGUCUCUGAAGUUUAACAUUUUGAGUGUAGAAAACAGAUCAUCAUUCUUUAGGUGUUCAUUCUUUAUUCAUUGUCCAAUAAUGCACAAAUUUUGUAGACUGUAGCAGUCAUUAAAUACAGAAAAAUAUUGUAUAAAAUUUGGUAAUUAUAUAUGAAAGUAGCUGGCAUAGACACUAACUUUGCAUGUGAUCAGAAGAAUGUCUGGUCAUAAUUGCCCAGUAACUUGGUAUGGUUACUGGAUCUAUUCCACAAAUAGAGGUGGUAUAAGACAUGUUAAUGUGGUUCCUGUGUAAAGAGAAAAUUUGACUUGAAUAGACGCUUCUGAUACCUCUUACCAGUUGGCCUCAAGUAGAAUGAGGAGGAGUAAGAAAUGAAUCUUAACAGUUAACUUAUCCUCAGAGUUGGUGAUGUGUAAGUUGAGUUGAAGGUAGUUGUCUAUGUGACCCAGAAUCUUCCAGCUGGAUUUUUCUUAGGACAAAAUGGAAAAUGCGUAGGGCCUGGAAAGGUUGGAUUAAGUGACUAACUUAAAAAAAAAGAACUGGGGGGAAGUGUCAAAGCAUUGAUCAUGAGUAGUCUGAUUGUCUAAACUGCAAUCUAAUUGUCUGUUCACAGAGACCCUACGUUGUAAAUAUUGGCAAAGGGAGAAAAAUAACUGUUAAAUUGGAAGUUAUCCUUUAGCAGAAAUCAGUUCCUUUGGCAUGCAUUUUAUUUAUUUGGCCUGCUUAAUAUGUCUGUAAAUAACUGAAUAUAAAACAAAUUCAGUGCAGCAGAGCUGGUGCUUCUGACACAGCUAACUUGACCAUAUUCCUUUAUCUUCACUUUAGCAUGAGUGUUUUUAACUAUAAAGUAAGUGCAAUGGUUAGAAGGAACCAGCCAACAAAAUUAUGAUCUAGCAAAUUUAACAAGGAGGUGAGGGAGAGGAAGCUAUUUUACAGUCGAUUUGCACUUUAAAAUGAACUGGAUGUUGGUGAAAAGUACUCUCAAAGGGCAGAUGGGUAAAUACCCAGCCUGCAUGUGGAUA
RNAcentral lists this long non-coding RNA (1235 nucleotides) under Bos taurus (domestic cattle). RNAcentral's name for it is "long non-coding RNA NONBTAT002778". Lineage: Eukaryota; Metazoa; Chordata; Mammalia; Artiodactyla; Bovidae. The record is from RNAcentral.